GCCGGCGCCCGUUCGGGGUCGGCAAGGUCAAGGAGCGCCGCAUCCUUGGCGCUCCUCGUACCCAUGUUGCUCAGUUAUGGAGGAUGUGGCUAUGAGAA
RNAcentral lists this small RNA (98 nucleotides) under Mesorhizobium sp. Root157. RNAcentral describes it as "Repression of heat shock gene expression (ROSE) element". It matches the Rfam family "Repression of heat shock gene expression (ROSE) element". From Rfam's summary of the family: This family represents a 5' UTR cis-regulatory element found in heat shock mRNAs and is known as the ROSE (repression of heat shock gene expression) element. The ROSE element is a negative regulator of heat shock gene expression. The record is from Rfam by way of RNAcentral. Lineage: Bacteria; Pseudomonadati; Pseudomonadota; Alphaproteobacteria; Hyphomicrobiales; Phyllobacteriaceae.